GAGAUAAAUCCAUGAGGGGAACGGUGUUAGCAGACGAGCACACAUGACUACUUUUAAAGUUUGUAAGGAUUCUUCACGAGCGCAGUGUCACGUUCAGUAGAGCCGGGAGUUGAUUUUCACAGUCUAUGAGGAGGAUGACCACAUUAAUCACUACUUUGAAUUUUGAAUCUUGGCACUUUCGCGCAAGGCGGCUUUCCGUGCCUUUGAGGGAGAUAAGGCAAUCUUUCACCAUCUCUAAUAGAAUUAAAAAUAGAGAAGAUGAAGCGGAUCGAAAGUGAGGUGUUGAAAGGUUUAACUUUACAUUCGUGAUGAAUCUUUUAACACCUAUGAGACAUAGUUUGGAGAAGUUUUGUUUUUCAAGAUACUCAAAAAUAGCUGAAGACAACAUAAUAAGAUCAGCGGGCGGUAACCUGUCAUGACCAUCUACACACUUCAUGCUUGGCCUAUAAUGUGAGAUGCUAGAGCGGAUUCUGGUGAUUUUUGCAUCCUCGUCAUGGUGAGCAGAGCUGCAGGGCUUCCCAAUGUGAUUACCCUAAAAUUGGCUCUGAAUCCUGUGUGAUUUGCUGGUGUGUUUGAAGUUGGCGGAAAAUUUAGGAAGCCUUUGAGUGGCUGUCUGAACUGAAUUUGACCCGUUUGUUUGUUCCAUCCUUCCAGUCUUUGGUCUGGCGUUCGGAUGGCGUUUGAUUAAAACUUCACAUUAGCCUUUGAUGAGAGCAGGCUUCUCCUUUGUAGCGCACGCUCCAUCUGGAGCACCGGCCACCAUACAGCUGCCAUCUUCAUUGUGACAUUCUCCCAUACCCUCGGUCCACUGUUAAAGGGAUAGUUCGGCCAAAAAAAAAAACAGUUGUCAGUAUAAUAGUUCUCAAAAUCCAUAUGUUUUCUUCUUUUAA
Long non-coding RNA from Carassius carassius (crucian carp), 890 nucleotides. RefSeq lists it as uncharacterized. The record is from RefSeq and is a predicted model, not a curated record. The transcript is spliced from 4 exons. Lineage: Eukaryota; Metazoa; Chordata; Actinopteri; Cypriniformes; Cyprinidae.